CAGAAUUUCAGCUUCUAGAUUGGUGGGUUAUGGCGGUUCCGACGAUAGCACUGUACGCAAGUCCGCCGAGUAGUGUGUGUUCUACGCCGUAUCAAUGCCACUCUCACGCGUCUUAUGAUUUCGAUUUGAACGGCAGAUUAUCGUCGUCUUCCUCGUCGACAUCCUCUUCUUCCCAGAAAUCCAUUGUCGGUGGCCUGUCGUCUCUGUUCUCUUCGCCAGCUGUGAAGGCCAGCUAUUCAACUGGAACCGAGGAUUUGGGGUCUUUGUGGCAUGAUAGAGGCGACGAAUUGAGCAGCUCUUUUCGUUGUUCAUCCCUCAGCUCGUCAUUGAAAAGGGAUCAUCAGAGUCCAGUUUCUGUGUUUCAAGGGCCUGUUUCAUGUAGCACUAGUAGUAGUGGAAUAGGAUCAUAUUCCAGAAGUCCUCCAAAGAGAAUUGCUGGUGAUGUCUGUUCCAUUCGUUCUGGGACUGGUGGAUUGUUCAAUGGUUUUGUUAGGCACGCCUUGGGAUCCUGUGUUGAUCACGAUCCGGCGGCUUUCCAGGUCCUGGAUGAUGAUUCUCGUUCAUCAGGGCUAUUGGAUGAACUCACCUUUAACAUGGAAGAAGGUUUCUUGGAGUCCAUGACAGAACCUUAUGCUAAAAAUUUGCUGUUGGGUGCACAGGCAAGGCAUAAAAUCUUUUAUGAUGAUUUUGUGGUGAAGGCAUUUUAUGAAGCUGAGAAAGCCCAUAGAGGACAGGUGCGAGCUUCUGGUGAUCCUUAUCUACAGCAUUGCGUUGAGACUGCAGUUUUACUCGCAACCAUUGGUGCUAACUCGACUGUUGUUGCUGCUGGACUUUUGCACGACACACUUGAUGACACAUUCAUGACUUAUGACUAUAUAUUCCGGACGCUAGGAGCUGGUGUUGCUGAUCUGGUUGAGGGGGUGUCGAAGCUUAGUCAAUUGAGCAAGCUUGCACGAGACUUUGAUACAGCUAGUAAAACUGUUGAGGCGGAUCGAUUACACACCAUGUUCCUUGCUAUGACAGAUGCCAGGGCGGUUCUCAUAAAACUAGCUGAUCGUUUGCAUAAUAUGGUUACUUUGGAUGCAUUACCAUCUACAAAGCAGCAAAGAUUUGCUAAAGAAACUUUGGAAAUUUUCGCCCCUCUUGCUAAUCGCCUAGGCAUCUCAACCUGGAAAGAGCAGCUGGAGAACCAAUGCUUUAAACAUCUUAGCCCUGAUCAGCACAAUGAACUGUCAUCCAAACUAAUGGAUUCUUUUGACGAGGCAAUGAUUACCUCUGCUGUGGAGAAAUUGGAGCAGGCGUUAAGUGAUGGAUCUGUCUCUUAUCAUGUGCUUUCAGGGCGUCACAAGAGCUUGUACAGCAUUUACUGCAAGAUGCUAAAGAAGAAGCUUAGUAUGGAUGAAGUCCAUGACAUUCAUGGGUUGAGGUUGAUUGUUGAAAAUGAGGAGGAUUGCUAUAAAGCACUUCAAGUUGUUCACGAGCUAUGGCGUGAGGUACCCGGGAGAUACAAGGACUACAUAGAGAAACCGAAAUGCAAUGGGUACCAAUCUCUUCACACGGUUGUUCUUGGGGAAGGCAUGGUGCCUCUUGAAGUGCAGAUCCGAACAAAAGAGAUGCACUUGCAAGCUGAAUAUGGCUUUGCUGCUCAUUGGAGAUACAAAGAAAAUGAUUGCAAGCACUCCUCUUUUGUACUUCAGAUGGUAGAGUGGGCUCGUUGGGUUGUAACCUGGCAGUGCGAGACAAUGAGCCGAGACCAGUCAUCUGUUGGCCACACUGAAUCGAUUAAGCCACCUUGCAAAUUUCCAGCUCAUUCCGAGGAUUGUCCUUUUUCUUGCAAACCUGAUUGUGGAACUGAUGGGCCUGUCUUUAUCAUUAUGAUUGAGAAUGAUAAGAUGUCUGUUCAAGAAUUCGCAGCAAACUCGACCGUGAAGGAUCUGUUGGAGAGAGCUGGCCGUGGGAGCUCAAGAUGGACACCCUAUGGAUUUCCUAUGAAGGAAGAGCUAAGGCCAAGGUUGAACCACGAACCAGUUAGUGAUCCCAACUGCAAGCUAAGAAUGGGAGAUGUUAUAGAAUUAACUCCAGCGAUACCACAUAAAUCGUUGACAGAGUACAGGGAGGAGAUUCAACGAAUGUAUGAUAGAGGUGUAAGCCCUCUUCCUGCCGCUGCCAAUACUGUAGUUGGUCUGAGGAGUUGACAGUUGAUGUUUCUCCUCCUCCUAGAUUAAGGUCCUCCUCUAAUCUUGUACAUAAUUACAAAUGAUAAGCAUUUGUACAGAACAGCCGUGGUUCUGUAUAUAAAAAAAU
This 2304-nucleotide unclassified non-coding RNA is filed under the name Hevea brasiliensis (rubber tree). Lineage: Eukaryota; Viridiplantae; Streptophyta; Magnoliopsida; Malpighiales; Euphorbiaceae. The record is from RNAcentral.